This 469-nucleotide ribosomal RNA is filed under the name uncultured bacterium. Its description in RNAcentral is "SSU rRNA". It matches the Rfam family "Bacterial small subunit ribosomal RNA", at positions 26 to 518 of the family's 1533-position model. The record is from RNAcentral.
AGGAUUAACGCUGGCGGCGUGCCUGACACAUGCAAGUCGAACGAGGCCGCAAGGCCGAGUGGCGGACGGGUGAGUAACACGUGACCAACCAACCUCGAAGUUGGGAAUAGCUCUGCGAAAGUAGGGGUAAUACCGAAUGUGGCCCAGGGCGGGCAUCCGCCUUGGUCUAAAGAUUCAUCGCUUCGAGACGGGGUCGCGGCCUAUUAGCUUGUUGGUGAGGUAACGGCUCACCAAGGCGAUGAUGGGUAGCUGGUCUGAGAGGACGACCAGCCACACUGGGACUGAGACACGGCCCAGACUCCUACGGGAGGCAGCAGUGAGGAAUCUUCCGCAAUGGGCGAAAGCCUGACGGAGCAACGCCGCGUGUGGGAUGAAGACUCUAGGGUUGUAAACCACUGGUCGGAGGGGACGAGUCGUGACCGGUACCCUCCAAAGAAACGCCCCGGCUAACUACGCGCCAGCACGCCGC